This 490-nucleotide ribosomal RNA is filed under the name uncultured eukaryote. RNAcentral describes it as "bacterial SSU rRNA". It matches the Rfam family "Eukaryotic small subunit ribosomal RNA", at positions 131 to 599 of the family's 1831-position model. The record is from RNAcentral.
CCGCGCCGCCGGAUAACCGUAGUAAUUCGUAGGGCUAAUACGUGCGAAGCGCCGAAGCCGCGAGGCGACGGCGUUCUCGCCGGAUGUAGGAACCGACCCGGGGACCGCCGGGGCAACCCGGCGCCCCCGAGACGGGGCGAACCACGGUGAAAUGACGGAUCGUCGGCCCCGCGCCGGCGACUCGCCGAAUGAGUUUCUGACCUAUCAACUCGAGACGGCGGGGUAGAGGCCCGCCGCGGUAACGACGGGUAACGGGGAAUCAGGGUUCGAUUCCGGAGAGGGAGCCCCGAGAAACGGCUACCACUUCCAAGGAAGGCAGCAGGCGCGCAACUUACCCUAAUCUCGAUUCGAGGAGGUAGUGACAAGAAAUACCGAUGCGGGACCCUACGGGUGCCGCGUUCGGAAUGAGUACGAUUCGAACCACCUAACGAGGAACGAUCGGAGGGCAAGUCUGGUGCCAGCAGCCGCGGUAAUUCCAGCUCCAAUAGCG